This 451-nucleotide ribosomal RNA is filed under the name uncultured bacterium. RNAcentral describes it as "partial 16S ribosomal RNA". It matches the Rfam family "Bacterial small subunit ribosomal RNA", at positions 28 to 523 of the family's 1533-position model. The record is from RNAcentral.
AACGAACGCUGGCGGCAUGCCUAACACAUGCAAGUCGAGCGCCUGUAGCAAUACAGGAUCGGCGCACGGGCGAGUAACGCGUGGGAACAUGCCCUUAGGUUCGGAACCACCGCGGGAAACUGCGGUCGAGAACCGAUGAUGUAUCCGGACCAAAGAUUUAGCGCCUUUGGCGGGGCCCGCGUGGGUUUAGGAAGUUGGGAGGGUAACGGCUAACCAAGCCUGCGAUCCGUAGCUGGUCUGAGAGGAUGACCAGCCACACUGGGACUGAGACACGGCCCAGACUCUUACGGGAGGCAGCGGUGGGGAGUAUUGGACAAUGGGGGCAACCCUGAUCCAGCAAUGCCGCGUGGGUGAUGAAGGCCUUCGGGUUGUAAAGCCCUUUCGGCGGGGACGAUGAUGACGGUACCCGCAGAAGAAGCCCCGGCUAACUUCGUGCCAGCCGCCGCCGUAA